AAAUAUAGGAAUGUGGAAAAACAACAAUAAUAAAUGCUUUGGCCCUACAUUAUACAAGUAGUGAGACCGUAUUUCAACAUCCCAACUCUUUUUAAGCUUUAGCCCUCUCCUUUUCAAGUGGUAUCUAGAAAUUCUCUCCUCUUUAGCUACAAGGAAAGACUUCCAUAGCAUAAUCAGAGUAAGAGUCAGGUUCUUUAAUUUUGGUAUAGGGUCUUGCAUUCUGCCCUGAUCCUCCUGUGAAUUCUGUGAUGGAGAAAAUAACAAGGACAUGACACAGAUUUGCAGAAUUCAUAUGCAGGAAAGCCAGGGUGGAGGGGAAACACCAUAGAACUGUGUGACUGGCACAAUGCAAUAGUAGUUGAGAAGAAAUGGUGGCAUGGCACAUCUAGGUUGGAGUCUCCUUCAUGCCGGUGAAGAAUGAUGAACAAGGAUGUUCCCUUUGUGCUCAAGAGGGAGCUCAGUGGAGAAACAGACUGGAGAGAUUUUGUGUCUAAAUGGGGCACUAGUAACCUGUGUAGUCAGUAGGUAAAGUCCAGAGAGAAAAGAGACCUCUCAAUGCAUGUCGAAGUAGGUGAUGACAAAUAUUCUGCCAUCCUCCUAUGUCCACUCCAUGUCUCUAGAAACAUGGCAGAUACCCAGAAGGCCCACACCAGUGUAAUAUAUGUGUAAUAACAAUC
This 677-nucleotide long non-coding RNA is filed under the name Homo sapiens (human). Its description in RNAcentral is "HSALNT0306121". The record is from RNAcentral. Lineage: Eukaryota; Metazoa; Chordata; Mammalia; Primates; Hominidae.